This is a non-coding RNA of Acanthosepion pharaonis, 114 nucleotides long. NCBI's taxonomy places the organism in Eukaryota, Metazoa, Mollusca, Cephalopoda, Sepiida, Sepiidae. The record is from the annotation of a GenBank genome assembly.
UUACGGCCAUAACACAUUGAAACACAAGUUCACGUAUGAUCAACAAAGUUAAGCAAUGUUAAGCCUAGUUAGUAACUAGAUGAGUGACUGCUUGGGAAUACCAGAUGCUGUAAG